RNAcentral lists this ribosomal RNA (468 nucleotides) under uncultured bacterium. RNAcentral's name for it is "partial 16S ribosomal RNA". It matches the Rfam family "Bacterial small subunit ribosomal RNA", at positions 28 to 507 of the family's 1533-position model. The record is from RNAcentral.
GACGAACGCUGGCGGCGUGCUUAACACAUGCAAGUCGAACGGAAAGGCCCUGCUUUUGUUGGGUGCUCGAGUGGCGAACGGGUGAGUAACACGUGAGUAACCUGCCCUUGACUUUGGGAUAACUUCAGGAAACUGGGGCUAAUACCGGAUAGGAGCUCCUGCUGCAUGGUGGGGGUUGGAAAGUUUCGGCGGUUGGGGAUGGACUCGCGGCUUAUCAGCUUGUUGGUGGGGUAGUGGCUUACCAAGGCUUUGACGGGUAGCCGGCCUGAGAGGGUGACCGGCCACAAUGGGACUGAGAGACGGCCCAGACUCCUACGGGAGGCAGCAGUGGGGAAUAUUGCACAAUGGGCGGAAGCCUGAUGCAGCAACGCCGCGUGCGGGAUGACGGCCUUCGGGUUGUAAACCGCUUUCGCCUGUGACGAAGCGUGAGUGACGGUAAUGGGUAAAGAAGCACCGGCUAACUACGUG